RNAcentral lists this ribosomal RNA (468 nucleotides) under uncultured bacterium. Its description in RNAcentral is "partial 16S ribosomal RNA". It matches the Rfam family "Bacterial small subunit ribosomal RNA", at positions 28 to 507 of the family's 1533-position model. The record is from RNAcentral.
GACGAACGCUGGCGGCGUGCUUAACACAUGCAAGUCGAACGGAAAGGCCCUGCUUUUGUGGGGUGCUCGAGUGGCGAACGGGUGAGUAACACGUGAGUAACAUGCCCUUGACUUUGGGAUAACUUCAGGAAACUGGGGCUAAUACCAGAAAGAAGAUCCUGCUGCAUGGUGGGGGUCGGAAAGUUUAGGUGGUUGGGGAUGGGCUUGUGGCUUAUCAGCUGGAUGGUGAGGUAGUGGCCUCCCAAGGCGUUGCUGAGUAGACGGCCUGAGAGGGUGACAGGCCACAUUGAGCCUGAGCUACCGCCCAGACUCCUAUGAGAGGCAGCAGUAGCUGAUAUUGAUGAAUAGACGGACGCCUGAUGCAACAACGCCGCGUACGAGAUAACGGCCUUCGGGUUGUAAACCGCUUUCGCCUGUGACGAACCGUGGGUGACGGUAAUGGGUAAAGAAGCGCCGGCUAACUACGUG